This 457-nucleotide ribosomal RNA is filed under the name Pseudomonas sp. oral taxon C85. RNAcentral's name for it is "bacterial SSU rRNA". It matches the Rfam family "Bacterial small subunit ribosomal RNA", at positions 30 to 480 of the family's 1533-position model. Lineage: Bacteria; Pseudomonadati; Pseudomonadota; Gammaproteobacteria; Pseudomonadales; Pseudomonadaceae. The record is from RNAcentral.
AUUGAACGCUGGCGGCAGGCCUAACACAUGCAAGUCGAGCGGUAGAGAGAAGCUUGCUUUUCUUGAGAGCGGCGGACGGGUGAGUAAUGCCUAGGAAUCUGCCUGGUAGUGGGGGAUAACGUUCGGAAACGGACGCUAAUACCGCAUACGUCCUACGGGAGAAAGCAGGGGACCUUCGGGCCUUGCGCUAUCAGAUGAGCCUAGGUCGGAUUAGCUAGUUGGUGAGGUAAUGGCUCACCAAGGCGACGAUCCGUAACUGGUCUGAGAGGAUGAUCAGUCACACUGGAACUGAGACACGGUCCAGACUCCUACGGGAGGCAGCAGUGGGGAAUAUUGGACAAUGGGCGAAAGCCUGAUCCAGCCAUGCCGCGUGUGUGAAGAAGGUCUUCGGAUUGUAAAGCACUUUAAGUUGGGAGGAAGGGCAGCAAAUUAAUACUUUGCUGUUUUGACGUUACCG